UAGGUAAACAGUGUCACCAGGCAGG
RNAcentral lists this non-coding RNA (25 nucleotides) under Mus musculus (house mouse). The record is from RNAcentral. Lineage: Eukaryota; Metazoa; Chordata; Mammalia; Rodentia; Muridae.